Molecule: ribosomal RNA, 253 nt
Filed under: uncultured bacterium
Lineage: Bacteria
Description: partial 16S ribosomal RNA
Rfam family: Bacterial small subunit ribosomal RNA
Source: RNAcentral
UACGUAGGUGGCAAGCGUUGUCCGGAUUUACUGGGCGUAAAGGAUGCGUAGGCGGACAUUUAAGUCAGAUGUGAAAUACCCGAGCUUAACUUGGGUGCUGCAUUUGAAACUGGGUGUCUAGAGUGCAGGAGAGGUAAGUGGAAUUCCUAGUGUAGCGGUGAAAUGCGUAGAGAUUAGGAAGAACACCAGUGGCGAAGGCGACUUACUGGAUCUCUUCUGACGCUGAGGCACGAAAGCUAGGGUAGCGAACGGG